RNAcentral lists this ribosomal RNA (381 nucleotides) under Pinnixa faba. RNAcentral's name for it is "partial large subunit ribosomal RNA". Lineage: Eukaryota; Metazoa; Arthropoda; Malacostraca; Decapoda; Pinnotheridae. The record is from RNAcentral.
GUCUGCUUGGAGCUAUAAGAAGUCUAGCCUGCUCUCUGAUGAAUUUAAGGGCCGCGGUAAUCUGACCGUGCAAAGGUAGCAUAAUAGUUAGUUUUUUAAUUGGAAUCUUGUAUGAAUGGUUGGACAAAAGAAAUACUGUCUCUAUAAUUUUGUUUGAAUUUAACUUUUAAGUGAAAAGGCUUAAAUAUAUUAAAAAGACGAUAAGACCCUAUAAAGCUUUAUAAGAAAAUUUUAUUUGGUUAAUUUAAUAAAUAAAAUCCUAAUAUUUGUUCUUAUUUUAUUGGGGAGAUAAAAUUAUAAUUUUAUGUAACUGAUUGAAGAUAAAACAAAAAUAAAUGUUUAAUUAAAAAUAAUGAUCCUUUUUAAAGAUUAAAAGUUCAA